ACCGGAUCUCAUAUGAGCUUGAGCUCAAUGACUCCUUGUCCUGAAAAAGUAUCUUUCUUCACACGCUGUUGAACUAGGCAACCGACAAUUCAUCGAGCCAUCCACUGAAUAAACAGGAACAAAUACAACCCUUUUAUUUUGAUGCUGCUUUGUAUAAUCAGCUUCUUUAGAAACAACCAUGCAUGCACUCAACUGAACUAAACUUGCUUGGUUAAUCUCUUACUAUUUCUUUCCAAGAAAUCUUUGCGACGGCGACGGCUCGUGUCGGUAGCUGUCUCACUCAACACCGCGUGCCGACAUGCCAACUCCGUUCAGGCCCAGCUUGACAGAGGAACCGACGAGGAGGGGUGAUCGGGGAACCAGCUAGCUCAUGGGCGCCAGCUGCUAGAACUAGAUCUCGUCGUCGUUCAAGCUGGGCCACUCAGACCGCUGCCGGCUGCAAGCCUCCUUCAUCCACAGCCAUUGGGGCCACGGGACACAGUAGUUGAUUGUUUCAGUUAUCUACUUCUCUGUUUCUCAAAUAAAUGGAGCACAAGGACCAUCAUCACUCUCGUGUAAGAGCAUCUCUAACAAAUCAUGUAUAAAUCACGAAACAAUGAAAUAAACACCGGUUUACAGUUUUAAACGAUAAAAAACAGUCUGAAUAGAAUCCGUAAACGACAACGAACUGUUUUUUUUGUUGAGGGGCACGGUAAAAAAGCUUCUCCUGAUCUACAAAAAUACAGUUUUUGCGUCCGCUUCUACGGUGCCCUGUAUCGAGAGAAAGCAGUUGACGGAAACCCAACUGCCACGAAAACUUUCGCAUCCGUCGUCCACGUUCACCGUGCGCCACCC
Molecule: long non-coding RNA, 834 nt
Filed under: Hordeum vulgare
Lineage: Eukaryota; Viridiplantae; Streptophyta; Magnoliopsida; Poales; Poaceae
Description: long non-coding RNA (HVUL_LNC020312)
Source: RNAcentral